This is a long non-coding RNA of Felis catus (domestic cat), 1293 nucleotides long. RefSeq lists it as uncharacterized. Lineage: Eukaryota; Metazoa; Chordata; Mammalia; Carnivora; Felidae. The transcript is spliced from 2 exons. The record is from RefSeq and is a predicted model, not a curated record.
UGGUCACCUUGGAGCUGGGGGCCUCAGUCCCAGGAGUAAUCUCUGGUCAGAUGCAGAGGCUCUAAUCCACAGAAGAAAGCCUCACCCAUCUUCUCCCGGUGAUGGCAGUGCCUGGACCCAGUUCUUGAGACCCCCAAUUGUAGCUUCAGUGGGGCCUGUACUCUCCUGCCCUCAUCCUACCUAGCGGCCCUCAGAAUGCAAGAAGACCACGCAGCAAGGAGAGCCAGGAAAACCUUCAUCAAAGAGGACUUUUUUUCCUUUAAAAAUACAUUUAGGUUUCCUGCAAUGUGAAUUGACAAAAAUACCGUGUAAGUAACGGUAGAGGGGAUAUGGAGAAAACCAGGGAGGUCACACGAAUAACCAGUUUGGGAAAUGUGGCUCCUGGGCUGAGCUGAGUAGUAGGCACCCCACGCUGCCUGCCAAUCUCACCCCCAGGGCAGAAGGUAGAAGGGCAAGGAUGCCCCCUGCUGGGCGCACUGGAAAGCACGUGCCUCCUAGGGAAAGGCUGUGGACCCCGGGAAAGCCGACUCUCAGGGAAGUUACUGGAGGGUCUGUGUCAUGGUGAUUCACGGAGACACGUUCGCUGGGGAGUUUGGCAUGUGUGAGCUUUGGCGGUGAGAAAUUACACUCAACAGAAUGCCUCCCAAGGAGAUGCUGGUACCUAGAACCCAGGAGGCAGGCAGGUGUCGAAUUCUCUCGCUCACUUGGCACUUUUGGGUGGGGACCUUGUGCUGUGGUUCUCCAACCUGUUCAUCAGCAAAGAUUAGUAGUGGAAGUUAAACUCCGAUCUUCAGGUCAUAGCCAAAGAAGAGAGUCAGAUGAGAUUGGUUUCUUACCUGAUGCCAUGACUUACCGGAUAAAGCAACAAAGUUCAAGAGCCUGGAGAUCUAUGGUGCAUUUUAGGCCAGUGGUUAGCUACUUUGGGAAUGAAGAUGCCUUGGUCGUUGCAUUCUCUGGGGCCUAUUUCCCAGUCUGUUAUAGGGAGCCACACUCAGUCUCCAUAAAUCCAGCCACUUACCAGCUGGUUUAUCUUGUGAUACUUAACCUUCCUGUGCCUCCAUUUCCUCACCUAUAAAACAAGGAUCAUAAUACCUCCAAAGGUGGUUGUAAGGAUUCAAUAAUAUGUAUAUCCAAUAUUUAAUAUAGUGCCUGCACAUGAGCUCGAUAGUAUUGUUACCAUUAUUUAUCAUUAUUAUUUAUUGGCAGACACUGGCAGGGGAAAUACAGUUUCUCGUCACUUCCUUUGCAGUAUAUAUGCUGUUCUUUCCAAAACAAGUAUCUUCACUGACUUGC